UAGGGAAUCUUCCGCAAUGGGCGAAAGCCUGACGGAGCAACGCCGCGUGAGUGAUGAAGGGUUUCGGCUCGUAAAACUCUGUUAUUAGGGAAGAACAAAUGUGUAAGUAACUGUGCACAUCUUGACGGUACCUAAUCAGAAAGCCACGGCUAACUACGUGCCAGCAGCCGCGGUAAUACGUAGGUGGCAAGCGUUAUCCAGAAUUAUUGGGCGUAAAGCGCGCGUAGGCGGUUUCUUAAGUCUGAUGUGAAAGCCCACGGCUCAACCGUGGAGGGUCAUUGGAAACUGGGAAACUUGAGUGCAGAAGAGGAAAGUGGAAUUCCAUGUGUAGCGGUGAAAUGCGCAGAGAUAUGGAGGAACACCAGUGGCGAAGGCGACUUUCUGGUCUGUAACUGACGCUGAUGUGCGAAAGCGUGGGGAUCAAACAGG
RNAcentral lists this ribosomal RNA (429 nucleotides) under bacterium. RNAcentral describes it as "partial 16S ribosomal RNA". It matches the Rfam family "Bacterial small subunit ribosomal RNA", at positions 355 to 776 of the family's 1533-position model. The record is from RNAcentral.